UGGGGAAUUUUGGACAAUGGGCGAAAGCCUGAUCCAGCCAUGCCGCGUGUGUGAAGAAGGUCUUCGGAUUGUAAAGCACUUUAAGUUGGGAGGAAGGGCAGUUACCUAAUACGUGAUUGUUUUGACGUUACCGACAGAAUAAGCACCGGCUAACUCUGUGCCAGCAGCCGCGGUAAUACAGAGGGUGCAAGCGUUAAUCGGAAUUACUGGGCGUAAAGCGCGCGUAGGUGGUUAGUUAAGUUGGAUGUGAAAUCCCCGGGCUCAACCUGGGAACUGCAUUCAAAACUGACUGACUAGAGUAUGGUAGAGGGUGGUGGAAUUUCCUGUGUAGCGGUGAAAUGCGUAGAUAUAGGAAGGAACACCAGUGGCGAAGGCGACCACCUGGACUGAUACUGACACUGAGGUGCGAAAGCGUGGGGAGCAAACAGGAUUAGAUACCCCUGUAGUCCCUGAGCGGGCUGGCAAGGCGCAU
This 472-nucleotide ribosomal RNA is filed under the name uncultured bacterium. Its description in RNAcentral is "bacterial SSU rRNA". It matches the Rfam family "Bacterial small subunit ribosomal RNA", at positions 355 to 825 of the family's 1533-position model. The record is from RNAcentral.